GGCUCGAUAGUCAAGUGGUUAAGAUGCCACCCUUUCACGGUGGAGACAGGGGUUCGAUUCUCCUUCGAGCUA
This 72-nucleotide transfer RNA is filed under the name Lachnospiraceae bacterium KHCPX20. It matches the Rfam family "tRNA". From Rfam's summary of the family: Transfer RNA (tRNA) molecules are approximately 80 nucleotides in length. The record is from Rfam by way of RNAcentral. Lineage: Bacteria; Bacillati; Bacillota; Clostridia; Lachnospirales; Lachnospiraceae.